RNAcentral lists this non-coding RNA (119 nucleotides) under Thermosipho melanesiensis. RNAcentral's name for it is "FMN sequence". It matches the Rfam family "FMN riboswitch aptamer (RFN element)". From Rfam's summary of the family: The RFN element is a highly conserved domain that is found frequently in the 5'-untranslated regions of prokaryotic mRNAs that encode for flavin mononucleotide (FMN) biosynthesis and transport proteins. RNAcentral also lists the same sequence under 1 other name. The record is from RNAcentral. Lineage: Bacteria; Thermotogati; Thermotogota; Thermotogae; Thermotogales; Fervidobacteriaceae.
UAGAGUCCUCGGGGCAGGGUGAAAGUCCCGACCGGCGGUGAAAGCCCGCGAGCCCGUUAAGGGUUGAUCCGGUGAAAUUCCGGAGCCGACGGUUAAAGUCCGGAUGGGAGAGGACAAUG